CAAAAAGUGUGAUACAGUGAGGUCACGUUCGUUAGAAAAUCAUCGGUAUGCUGCAGGAAGUGAGGUUGAAUUCCUCCACUGUCCCGCAACUGUGAAUGUGGUCCGCGCUGGGGCGCAAAAGCGCCCGGUUCGUAUGGCCGCAAAGUCAGAUACUGCUCAUAGCCGAUGCAUCAUC
Molecule: non-coding RNA, 175 nt
Filed under: Candidatus Kerfeldiibacteriota
Lineage: Bacteria
Source: RNAcentral